UUGGAGUGCAAGUCUGGUGCCAGCAGCCGCGGUAAUUCCAGCUCCAAUAGCGUAUAUUAAAGCUGUUGCAGUUAAAAAGCUCGUAGUUGAAUUUCGGGAUUCGUCCAUUGGUCAGGCUUAACUGUCUGUACUGGUGUGUCGGAUUUCUACCUUCUGAAGAACCUUUAUGCCAUUAAUUUGGUGUGUUGGGGAAUCAGGACUGUUACUUUGAAAAAAUUAGAGUGUUUAAAGCAGGCUAACGUCUGAAUACAUUAGCAUGGAAUAAUGAAAUAGGACGGUACGGUUCUAUUUUGUCGGUUUCUAGGAUCGCCGUAAUGAUUAAUAGGGAUAGUUGGGGGCAUUAGUAUUCAAUUGUCAGAGGUGAAAUUCUUGGAUUUAUUGAAGACUAACUACUGCGAAAGCAUUUGCCAAGGAUGUUUCCAUUAAUCAAGAACGAAAGUUAGGGGAUCGAAGACGAUCAGAUACCGUCGUAGUCUUAACCAUAAACUAUGCCGACUAGGGAUUGGACGAUGUUAAUUUUUUAAUGACUCA
This 531-nucleotide ribosomal RNA is filed under the name uncultured Diversisporaceae. Its description in RNAcentral is "bacterial SSU rRNA". It matches the Rfam family "Eukaryotic small subunit ribosomal RNA", at positions 548 to 1078 of the family's 1831-position model. Lineage: Eukaryota; Fungi; Glomeromycota; Glomeromycetes; Diversisporales. The record is from RNAcentral.